Molecule: transfer RNA, 66 nt
Filed under: Nitidulidae sp. 1 ACP-2013
Lineage: Eukaryota; Metazoa; Arthropoda; Insecta; Coleoptera; Nitidulidae
Description: tRNA-His
Source: RNAcentral
UUUAAAUAGUUUAUUAUAAAAUAAUGAUUUGUGGAGUCAUAGAUAUACAUAUAGUAUUUUAAAUAA